RNAcentral lists this transfer RNA (73 nucleotides) under Ixodes scapularis (black-legged tick). It matches the Rfam family "tRNA". From Rfam's summary of the family: Transfer RNA (tRNA) molecules are approximately 80 nucleotides in length. Their secondary structure includes four short double-helical elements and three loops (D, anti-codon, and T loops). The record is from Rfam by way of RNAcentral. Lineage: Eukaryota; Metazoa; Arthropoda; Arachnida; Ixodida; Ixodidae.
UCCUGGUUGGCUCAGUUGGUAGAGCGCUCUACUGGAAAUGCAGAGGGCCUUGGUUCGAUAGCAGGACUAGGCG